Molecule: long non-coding RNA, 6840 nt
Filed under: Homo sapiens (human)
Lineage: Eukaryota; Metazoa; Chordata; Mammalia; Primates; Hominidae
Description: HSALNT0339254
Source: RNAcentral
GUAAAGCAAAGGAUAAUGUUAAACUGUUAGUCUCUCUUGGCUUUACAGAAAAGAUUUGCUGAGAUAUAUUACUCUAAAACUUUUAUGAAAAGCUAUCUUUCAAAUGUACCAACCUGGUUUACCAAACUUUGAGACAACUUAUGAAAAGGACCCCUUUGGAUUAAAAUUUAAAUCACAACACUUAAGUACAGUACAUGGGUACCAGUUACCGAAAGAUGAUAAACAGAAGACUAGUACAGAAAGAUUUAUCACCCACAAGCAUUGUGAAUGCACCUGGGAUUCAAAACUAAUUUUGACGAAAGCCCCAUGGCCUGUUAGAUCUGCUUCAUAUACAAGACAUAGAAGGCAGCGUGAUGCAUACAGUGCAUUUAUGGAUCGUGUGGAAGAAAAGUUUACAAAGAUAUGCAAGAGCAGAUAGCUGAUGGACCAAAACAGCAUAGGGCUUCCUGAACUCUGGCCUGAAUGUUCAUCUCCCGUGCAUUUCCCAGUGAGAACAUUGAUGAAUUCUGGCACCUUCCUGGAUUCUACAGAAAUCUGCACUCUCCCAGAGGCAUGAGAAAGUGCUAAAACAACAAAUGAAAGUUGCAUAAUUUGAAAUUCCCUUGUUACCACAGGGAUCAGAAUCCAAUCAUAAGGCUUUUGAUUUAGUUUGUGAAAGUUAGAUCUUGCAACUAUGAGUGGAAAUGCUGAUAAUGUGCUUUCUGUUAAUGUCCAAAGUUAAAGAUGCUCUAGUCUCAGUUUUUUCUAAUACACUUUAAGAAGCUUCUCUGAGACACUCAAGUAUAUCAAAAGAGAGAAGAUCUCCAAGUAACAGAAAUAAUAAAUGUCCUUCUUAAAGAACACCAGGCUUGGAGAAUUUAUAGUUCCAACUAGAAGGAAAGGUCUGUCUUUUAACAUGUUAAAAUAAUUUUCUAAAUUUUUGUUUAAAUAUUUUGAGGGAAAGAAAACAAAUGACUUGAAACUUCUUUGCUUCUGAUCAAGAUUUGAUGAUUAUAAUUGAAAAUUAAUAAAAGGGGAGGGUAGGAUUUAAUGCUAUUGCCAGUUUUAUCAAAUGGAUUAUCCUAUCACCUUUCCAAUUUCACUAUGAAAACUACUGAAAUAAAGGCAAGUACGUAUUUAAUAGCAUUGUUGACAUAAGCAACAUUAAGUGGAAAGAUGAGGCAAUGAAAUUAAAUCAUUUCCCAAAGGAUAUUUUGCAUAAUUUAAGUUCCCUGGAAUUUUAAUGUGUAAUUCUUGAAAAGAAAUGUGCUCUUUAGAAAAAGAAAUGCAGCAAAUACUGGAUUAAAUAAAUCAGAUACCUGAAUUUACUCAGGUUAUGCGAGUAGAAAGGCUGAAAUGCCCCAGGACUUAGUCCUAGGCCUGAUCUCUUUCUUAUCUAUAUACACUCUCUUGGUAAUCUCAUCGUUUUAUUUUUUUUUUUUUUCUUUUAGAGACAGAGUCUCUCUUUCUUGCCCAGGCUGGAGUGCAGUGACACAGUCAUGGCCCACUGUAAACUCCUGCAGUGACACAGUCAUGGCCCACUGUAAACUCCUGGCUUUGAUUCUCCCACCUCAGCCUCCUCCUAAUGUCAUUCAUUCUUAUUGGUUUAAAUGUCACCAAUAACACGUUCACACCCAAGACUUCCUAAUAUAUAUACCCAGCACUGAAAUAUCUUCUGAACGCCAGACUCUUAGACGCUCACCUAGGACAACUUCCUUGACAUCUCCCCGUGAUCUCUUUUUAGACAUUCUCUCAAACUCACCAGAUCCAAAAUUUAACCCUGAUAUUAUUUGCCAAUUCCUGCACAGUCUUGUUUAUCUCAGUUAAUAGCAAUUCCAUUCUUGUACUUGCUAAGGCAAAAAAUAAAAAUAAAAUGGAGACACCCUUUUUUUCAUUUUUUAUCUUACAGCCUAUAAGCUGUUAUAUCAUGAGCCCAACAAGUUUCUGCUGCCUCCAGUAAAUACACCAGUCCAAACCCUAUCAUCUCUUGCUUUAAUUAUUACAAUAGUCUCCAAUCUACAUGUCCACUGGAGGUAACACCCACCUCAGUCUAUCCUCAACACAACAGCAGACUUGUCUGUCUGACUUUUUUUAAUGCAAUUUUUAUCAUAUUACUCUUCUGCUUAGAACCCUCCAAUGUCUUUACAUCUUAAGCCAAAGUUCUUCUAAUGCCCUUCAUUAUGUAGUCCUGGUUAUUUCUUUGUGUUCAUCUCCAACUACCCUUUUCCAAUUACUGGGCCUCUCCAAAUAAUAGAGAAACCUCAUGAAGGAAGGGAUUUUGUCAUGUGUUUGCUGUUGUGUCCCAGUGCCAAGGAGAGUAGCUGAUGUACAGUAGAUGCUUAUAAAUAGUUUUCAAUGAAUGACUUCACUCCAAUAGUCUGAGAGCUGUAUAAAAUAUAGAUAACUUAGUUAUUGAUUCCCACUCUGGGGAGCCCACAAAAAUCAAAGUCAUCCACUAGCAGUUGAAGAGAACCAAGUUUGAUUUCUAGGUAAGCACUAACUUUUAUUUAUAAAUUAACACCUCUGUGGAGUCAUAUGUACUUCCACUGUUUUGCAUCUGUCAGGAAUGUUAAAAUUUUAAGAUUCUUGUUCAUUGAACUUAAAGUAGAAUUACGACCACAUGAGGUAGAAAUACCACCACAUGAGGUAAAAAAUGAAACUUUUAAGGAAAUGCUUGCGCUUAAAUUAUUGGUAAGUCUAUGUCUUUUCAUCAGAGCCAGACAAAUACCGGCUUAACUUUAAGGCUUGCUGAGAACAUUAAUGAUUAGCUGCUCAAAGCAGCAUGAAAUAAAUAGCCUACAUUAACAUAAAACUAUGAUAUCUAUGCUCACAUCCUUGCAAACAACAGAUAACAGCAAUCUAUAAACUUCCGGUUAUAUUUAUCUUUGUGUAGUUUGUGAAUUCUGGAUUACAAAGUGACUUUCAGAACAAUACUAGAUUAUGUCAUAGCUGGAUUUAGGAAAAUUAUCAUGCUGUUAGUUAACAGAAGAAGGGCAGUAAAAGCCAAGCUAAUUUAACGUUAUUAUAUAUUUGUAAUAUAAUAAGGACUUACCUGCAUCAAAGUAUAUAAUUUUCGGAAAGUCAGACAAUAACUUUCAUGUAUAUUAUUAGUUGAAAAUGAAAUAUUUUAAGCCUUCUAAAAUAUCUAUUAAGCCGGGCACGGUGGCUCACGCCUGUCAUCCCAGCAUUUUGGGAGGCUGAGACAGGCAGAUCACUUGAGGUCAGGAAUUCAAGAGCAGCCUGGCCGACAUGAUGAAACCCAUCUUUACUUAAAAAUACAAAAAUCAGCCGGGCGUAGUGGCCUGCACCUCUAAUCCCAGCUACUCAGGAGGCUGAGGAGGAGAAUUGCUCGAACCUGGGAGAUGGAGGUUGUAAUGAGCCGAGAUCACGCCACUGCACUCCAGCCUGGGCAACAGAGUGAGACUCUGUCUCAAAACAAACAAACAAACAAACAAAAAUCUAUUAAAUCACUAGCCUGAACACAUAGCAAAGAUUUAUAACUCUUCAAUGAGGGAAUCAAGAAAAUAAGAAAGGUGGAUAAAAGGCCAUUUUGAAGUUCUGGAUAUUUGUACACAUGUUUAAAAAAUGUUUUUAUGGGCUUCCUAGGUUAUUUACAAAGCUGCUUAUCUUUCAGGACAAUAAAAUCAUAAGCGAUGGAAUUAUCCUCUCUACCAGAGAGAAAUCAUUUGCAUUCCUACUGGAAUGAAAUCUACCACGUAACAUGUAAUUUUAGAGAGUCAGGACCUUAGUUAAUGGUAAACAGUGAGUCAUACAGAGCUGCAUUCCUUUAAACCACCACCAUCAAAUGGAAGUAUAAUUUAAGCCACUAUGUGAUUUGAAAUUCUCUAGCAGGUACGUUAAAAAAAAAAAAAGUGAAAACAAUUUUAACAAAAAAAUUAUGUAACUCAAUAUAUCAAGAAUAUUCUCAGCCAGGCGCAGUGGUGCACGCCUAUAAUCCCAGCACUUUGGGAGGCUGAGGUGGGUAGAUUUUCUACUAAGAUUCUUUGUUCAUUGCAUUAAAAAUGGAAAUUGUAUUUGUACUCCAAAAUUUUGCACUUAAACCACAUCUCACUUUUGACUAGCCACAUUCCAAGUGCUCAAUAACCACAUAUAGUCAAUGGCUAAAAUAUUGGACAGUGUAGCUCUGAAUAAUUUGAUAUUAAUUGGAUGGGCGUAUUAACCAAUUCCCCAGGUUGAUGUUGAAAGGUCAUGCUGUACUUCAUUGGCCUUAUCUCCAAGUUUUUGGUGAUUUUAAAAAAUCUUUUCAACCACAAAUUUUAGUCUUUUUCAUUGGAUCCCAGGACAUUAGAUGAUAGUAAAAACCUGUGGAAUCUUUCUACAGCAUUAUUUCGUUUAGCAAAAUAAAUGUGUCUUUCAAAAAGUUAUUUUGAAGACAUUUUUGUCAAUCAGGUAUAUUAUGUUGCUUAAACUUUUAGCUAAAGAUUCUUUACAUUAUAAUUGAACUCUUCCAACAAUAAACAUCAUAGCACAGAUAAUAACUAAGAUGAAGAUUAUUGUGAGACAGCUAUUCUUAACUUACAUAUAUUCAUCACCUAAUUUAAUUCUCACAAAAACUCUCUAAAAUAAUGUUACCAUUUUAAAGAUGAGGAGGCUAAGAGAGUUUACAUAACUUGCCCAAGGCCACACAGCUUGUAAAGAAGACCUGGAUAUAAAAUCCAGGCUUAUUAACUACAAAGCCUGAGCUAGUAAGCACUAUGCUAUAUGCAGAGAUUACUUCAACAUAAGCUCUUCCAACCUACAUCUAUUAGAUCACUAAACAUUUGCUACACAAAUUAAUAUUUAAUUUGUAUACAAAUUAAAUAUUAAUUUAUAUAAAAUUGCUAUACAAAUUAAUAUUAAAUUAGGAAGCCGAGGUGGGAGGAUCAUGAGGUUAGAAGUUCGAGACCAGCCUGACCAGCAUGGUGAAACCCUGUCUCUACCAAAAAUAUAAAAAAAUUAGACGGGCAUGGUGGCACACGCCUGUAGUCCCAGCUACUUGGGAAGCUGAGGCAGGCGAACUGCUUGAAUGUGGCAGGCGGAGGUUGCAGUAAGCCGAGAUCACACCACUGCAUUCCAGCCUGGGUGACAGAGCAAGACUCUGUCUCAAAAAUAUAUAUAUAUUAAUAUUAAGGAUUCAGGCCAGGUGCAGUGGCUCACACCUAUAAUCUCAGCACUUCUGGAGGCCAAGGUGAGAGGAUCACUUGAGGGUACAGUUCAAGACCACCCUGGGCAACAUAGCAAGACUCCUUCUCUACAAAAAACUUUAAAAAUUAGCCAGGUGUAGUGGUACACACCUGUAGUCCCAGCUACUGGGGAGGCUGAGGUUGGAUAGCUUGAACCCAGGGGUUUCAAGGCUGCAGUGCGUCAUGAUCGCACCAUUGCACUCCAUCUUGGGUGACAGAGGGAGAUCCCGUCUCUAAAAAAAAAUUCGUCAUAUGAACAAAGGUUUUUCCACUCUUUCUUUACACUAGAUAAAUGAUUUUUCUGUUUUCCAGAAUGAAUAGCAAGAAUUUAUUUUAAAAUGUUUUAUGACUAAUUAUAAAACCUGUCAUCAGUAGUUAAAACAUUACUAAGGGAGAGAAGCGCUAAUAUUAAAAUUUUUGUAGUGGAAUAAAAUUCAGCACUUUUGUUCUCUCAGUACUAUUUUGUAGGUUUGACUUGUAAAUUGCUCUUAUUUGAUAGAUGGAAAACAGAGGGAACUAAUUCUUUUUCUCAUUAUAAAAAAUACAAUUCUGAAGGCCUUUUAAAUUGAAAAGGAAAUAGAAAUUGAAAUAGAAUGGAAGUAGAAAAAGCUCCUUGCUUAAUGGUUUUGAAAGGUAAAAGUCUUCUUGAGGAAAUGUGGCCAAGGGCAAUAAAAUGUGGCCUCAUAACAAUACUUUGACAUUUUUUCUCUUUUCCUAUUUUUGAUUAAACCUGUAUAAAAUAGGGAUUAAUAUUGUUGCAUGAAUAUGUAGUAGGAAUUGCCCGUAGACUUUUCUUUUUCUGGUACUUCCUAAGAUAAAAAAACAUUUUCAAUAGUAAUUCAAUAUAUUUAGUGGCUAUUAGCCUAUUCAAGUUUUUUUUAUGUUUUACUAAUUUUGUCACUUUACAUUUUUAAAUCAUUUGCCCAUUUCAUUUGGCUUUCUAAUGUAUUAUCAAAUUAUUAUACUAGUCACAACUUGAUGUUUCAUUAUGUCUUUUAUAUCUUUUGUUAUUUCAUCUACUAAUACUUCAUUCUGUGUUUUGUUUAUAUAUACAUUCUUACUAAUGAUCAAUCUGUUCAAAUGCAUGUCUGGCCCACUAAUCUUUUUGAAAAAUAACUUUCAGUUGUGGAAAUUACCUCUCUGUUUUCCAUUUCCUUUUAGUGGCAUUAUCUUUAUUAUUCCCUUAUUUCAUGUUUUGUUCUUUGUCUAUGUUGUGGUUCUUUUUCUAUCUCCUUUAUUUGAAGGUUUAGAUAAUUAAUACUCUUUUUUUCUAUCUAAACAUUGUUUUCAAACCAUAUAUUUACCUUUAGUUAUUGCUAUAGUAGCUUUGAAUUAUCUUCUUGAAUGCCAGGUAAACAUUCUAUAAUGGUACAUCAUACUUUCUUAGAUCCACUUGCUGCAUUGAUCUAGUAUUCUUUAUUUCUUUCAAAUACUUGUCCACUCACAGGGAAAAAUUGCUCAAUAACUUGAACUUACAUAAUUUAUUCAUUUCACCCCAGAUUCCUGUUGAAGGAAAAUAUUCUGGUUUCUUUCCAAAGUGGUGAUUUUUUUUUAGCAAUUUGACACCAUUAUUCUCAAAAAGUGAGGAAGAAAACAUAAUUAUUAAGAAUUGAGAAAAGUUUUAAAAAGUAAAAUCAAGUGAAAGAGAUACAUCCUCUUCAAAGGGCAAGAGCAAACU